GCAUGAGGAGGAGCCACAGACACUGCUCGGACCAGCAGCAACAUGGAGAGGCUUGAGACUUCGAGUUGGGUUUCAGCAGAAGAAGAAGAGAAGGUACAUGUGUUUGAAUGAUCUACUGGGUUUUUUUUUUCUUUUUUUUCUCUUUCUAAUGGAACGAUUUACUAGCUUUGGUGGUGAUGGAGAUGGAGUUACAAGCCGAUACAUGUGUUAUUUUUCUGAUGCAUAACCGUAACUUCGAAAAAUCAUAAGUAAUUGUAGAAAAAUCCUUCAUAGACUAGCAUAGCGCAUAUCACAUACUCUAGUUAACAUUAAUCGAUCAGAAGCUUGAAUCAACUAUGCUUUAGUGUGGUGUGGUGUCAAAAGCAGUUGUCCAAUCCAGUCCUGAUGGUAUUGAUAUUUUCUUUUCCUAUUAUCUUUAGUCAAUCUAUUGCCUGCUUCGGCUUUUGUCAAUCUUGGUGCUCAUUGUGAAAAGAAGUAUUUGCUUAUGUGAUUCAUCUGAUCAUCUCAUCUCUAUGAACUGAUGUAAUUGCGUUGUACUUUUCAAUAAUGCUUUUUGUCUACUUAGUAUAGUGUAAAUUGAGAAUGAGAGAGCUAGUGAUAGCCGAAUAUGCAAGAACCAUAUGGUAUCAUGAACUGUCUUAAGCACAUCGACACCAGCUUAAUUUCUUGCCCUGGAAAUUAUAAUGGUGUCAUGAUAUAUACUUUCAUUAUAACUAAUAUUAAGCUGGCCUAAAGAUAUUCAUAUAUUUUUGUUGAUCGAGUAUUUAUAUAUACUGUACAGUGGAGACUAAAUUCUUGAUAACACAUUAAUACUGAUGGAUAUAAUUUCAAGUAGAUUGUUUACUACAUAUCAAGUCAUUAACCUUUGAUGACAUUAGCGAGUGAAGAGAUAAGGAUGGUGCUUUGGUGUUGGCGGUGGAUGACAGAAGAAAAGAAAGAGAAAGGAGAAGGGAAAAGAGAGAUGAUCGUACUAGAGCUCGUCUUUCAAAUGGAAUUUCUAUAAACUACAAGAUUUCAAAAAGUGAGGCUCGGGGAGGUUUGAUGAGGCUUAUAGUCGGUGGUGGAUAGGCUACCGAAAGUUCUGAAUCAAAAGGUUCUGUUGUUGUGGGUGUAAGAACUCUUAGUGAGGCAGGUCGUGUUGGCAACUUUUCAAGAGAGCAGGUAUGGCAGUUUACUUGUAUUUGAUUUGUGAACGAAUUUGUCCAAUACUGUUCAAUACAGGAGGAGAUUCUUUCCUCUUCAAUAAAGCAUUAUAUUGUAUUUUGAGAUAGGUUCUUGUUAAAUGAAUUAACUAUCAAAAAGUGUAAUCAUGUGAAAUAUGUUUCACAUCUCACAAGUAAUUGCUAAAUAGCUUAGUCCUGACCUGUUAAUUGUGAGCCGUUUUACAAUGUUAUCCAUACUGCCUCAGUUGGUCUCACUGUUUUGGGCCAAGGAGUAGUCUUUGCUUUGGGUUUAGGCUUUAGAGUCUUGUUGUUGUGUUUUGCGUUGAUGAACGCCUUUCUUUUGGUAAACAAACUUGUGUUUCUUAUAGG
This is an RNA transcript of Fragaria vesca subsp. vesca, 1532 nucleotides long. RefSeq lists it as uncharacterized. Lineage: Eukaryota; Viridiplantae; Streptophyta; Magnoliopsida; Rosales; Rosaceae. The record is from RefSeq and is a predicted model, not a curated record. The transcript has 2 exons.